GACGAACGCUGGCGGCGUGCUUAACACAUGCAAGUCGAGCGGUAAGGCCCUUUCGGGGGGUACACGAGCGGCGAACGGGUGAGUAACACGUGGGUGACCUGCCCUCAGCUCUGGGAUAAGCCUGGGAAACCGGGUCUAAUACUGGAUAUGACUCCAUGACGCACGUUGUGGGGUGGAAAGCCUUGUGCGGCUGAGGAUGGGCCCGCGGCCUAUCAGCUUGUUGGUGGGGUGAUGGCCUACCAAGGCGACGACGGGUAGCCGGCCUGAGAGGGCGACCGGCCACACUGGGACUGAGACACGGCCCAGACUCCUACGGGAGGCAGCAGUGGGGAAUCUUGCGCAAUGGGCGAAAGCCUGACGCAGCGACGCCGCGUGAGGGAUGACGGCCU
RNAcentral lists this ribosomal RNA (389 nucleotides) under uncultured bacterium. Its description in RNAcentral is "bacterial SSU rRNA". It matches the Rfam family "Bacterial small subunit ribosomal RNA", at positions 28 to 417 of the family's 1533-position model. The record is from RNAcentral.